AAUAUUGCACAAUGUGGGAAACCCUGAUGCAGCGACGCCGCGUGAGCGAAGAAGGCCNNNGGGUCNUAAAUCCCUGUCCUAAGNGAANAAACGGACGGUACCUUAGGAGUAAGCCCUGGCUAACUACGCGCCAGCAGCAGCGGUAAUACGUAGGGGGCGAGCGUUACCCGGAAUUAUUGGGCGUAAAGGGUUCGUAGGCGGCCUUUUAAGUCAGAUGUGAAAGGCUACGGCUUAACCGUAGUUAGCAUUUGAAACUAAAAGGCUUGAGUGCAGGAGAGGAGAGUGGAAUUCCUAGUGUAGCGGUGAAAUGCGUAGAUAUUAGGAGGAACACCAGUGGCGAAGGCGACUCUCUGGACUGCAACUGACGCUGAGGCACGAAAGCGUGGGGAGCGAAC
This 395-nucleotide ribosomal RNA is filed under the name uncultured bacterium. Its description in RNAcentral is "partial 16S ribosomal RNA". It matches the Rfam family "Bacterial small subunit ribosomal RNA", at positions 360 to 773 of the family's 1533-position model. The record is from RNAcentral.